CGGGGUGUAGUGGAUCGGUACCACGCCACGUUCGGGACGUGGAGAUACUGGGUUCAAUUCCCAGCACCCCGA
Molecule: non-coding RNA, 72 nt
Organism: Candidatus Woesebacteria bacterium GWA1_42_12
Lineage: Bacteria; Candidatus Woeseibacteriota
Source: Rfam